RNAcentral lists this ribosomal RNA (256 nucleotides) under Clostridioides difficile. RNAcentral describes it as "partial 23S ribosomal RNA". It matches the Rfam family "Bacterial large subunit ribosomal RNA", at positions 1939 to 2194 of the family's 2925-position model. Lineage: Bacteria; Bacillati; Bacillota; Clostridia; Peptostreptococcales; Peptostreptococcaceae. The record is from RNAcentral.
ACUAGACCGGUCCUAAGGUAGCGAAAUUCCUUGUCGGGUAAGUUCCGACCCGCACGAAAGGCGUAACGAUUUGGGCACUGUCUCAACAACAGACUCGGUGAAAUUGUAAUUCCGGUGAAGAUGCCGGAGACCUGCGACAGGACGGAAAGACCCCAUGGAGCUUUACUGUAGCUUGACAUUGGGUCUUGGUACUACAUGUACAGGAUAGGUGGGAGGCUUUGAAACCAGGACGCCAGUUUUGGCGGAGCCAUCCUUG